AACGAACGUUAGCGGCGCGCUUAACACAUGCAAGUCGAGCGAGAAAGAGGGCAACCUCCGGUAAAGCGGCGCACGGGUGAGUAACACGUAGGUAACCUACCCCCAGGUGGUGGAUAACCUCCCGAAAGGGGGGCUAAUACAGCAUAAGACCAUGCCUUCGAAAGAAGGUGAGGUCAAAGUCGGCCUCUAUUCAUAAGCUGACGCCAGGGGACGGGCCUGCGGCCCAUCAGGUAGUUGGUAGGGUAACGGCCUACCAAGCCGAAGACGGGUAGCUGGUCUGAGAGGAUGAUCAGCCACACUGGAACUGAGACACGGUCCAGACUCCUACGGGAGGCAGCAGUGGGGAAUCUUGCGCAAUGGGCGAAAGCCUGACGCAGCGACGCCGCGUGAGUGAUGAAGGCCUUCGGGUUGGUAAAGCUCUGUGGGGGGGAGACGAAUAAGUCAUGGCCGAACAUCCAUGAUGAUGACGGU
RNAcentral lists this ribosomal RNA (471 nucleotides) under uncultured bacterium. Its description in RNAcentral is "bacterial SSU rRNA". It matches the Rfam family "Bacterial small subunit ribosomal RNA", at positions 29 to 476 of the family's 1533-position model. The record is from RNAcentral.